This is a long non-coding RNA of Exaiptasia diaphana, 1120 nucleotides long. RefSeq lists it as uncharacterized. NCBI's taxonomy places the organism in Eukaryota, Metazoa, Cnidaria, Anthozoa, Actiniaria, Aiptasiidae. The transcript has 4 exons. The record is from RefSeq and is a predicted model, not a curated record.
CACAUAUGGUGCAACGAAAACAUCUUUGUAGAUGUAGGUGUAGGUGGGAUUUAUGGUUCUAUUACAUGGCCAAAAACACAAGCAGGAAAACAAGCAAAACUAAAAUGUACCGCAGGAAACAAGAAAGGAUGGAUGUACAGGAAAUGCUCCUCAAGCGGUAGUUAAGAGCUGCCUGAUUUCAGUGAAUGUCAAAAUGCUACGAAGGUGAAUACACCUAGACCUAAGAAUGCCAGCCCAAAAGCCAAAGUCCAGCAAAUAAAACAMAACAUUAAAUCUGGUUCACCGAAAGGAAAAACUAAAAAGGACGUGGAUAAAGCUGUCAACGUUCUUGAAGAUGUUGCAAAGAUAAAAGACAAACUUAAUGAGACUGCUAUUGAUAUCAUUGAAACUAUCGACACCAUUAUGGACGURAACGAAACGAUACUUGCAGAAAGUACGAAUGCUACCAGCAAGUAAGUAGACUUUGCUUCAAUUACAGGCUAAUAGUAUGACUUCAAAACUUUGACUUUGGAUGGKUCCAAAUGUGGAAAGUCAAUUGUAAUCAAUAAGAAAUUGUACAAAUAUAUUUGUAGGGUSGUAAAGAUUUUGGAGCUGAUUGCAGAGAACAUYCCAACAAACRAGAAAACUAAGACUACGACACUUAACACCACUAACCUGCUAUUACAAGCUGUAGAUGUAACCAGGAAAUCUUUUCCAGGAAUGUCGUUUGGUGUCUCUYCACAAGGSACCRUYUCUGAAAACUCUGCAAAGGCAAAAACCUCAGUCAAACUCCCAAACUCUYUGCUUAGUAAUGCACGAACAGAAUCUGUUCGCAUUGGGUUCAUUCGCUAUGGAAACAACAAACUUUUUCAAGAAUCAGACAAGCAAAGCGGUUCGAGAGUUAUUACAAGUAAACAAGUGUUAUCAAGCAGUGUGUACAACGUAUCAAYAUCAAACCUGACCGAUCCAGUUGUGCUGAGAUUCCCAGCGCAAUCAGGAACCACAAUUGGAAACAAAUCGUGUGUAUUUUGGAUGGAGCAGGCUCGUCAGUGGUCAAGCGCUGGWUGUUCCUUGUGUUCUCACCAGUCCACCAAAGACAGCGUGGAGUGUUGCUGUAAUCAUCUCACAAGCUUUGCUGUCC